This 117-nucleotide ribosomal RNA is filed under the name Candidatus Eiseniibacteriota bacterium. Lineage: Bacteria; Candidatus Eiseniibacteriota. The record is from RNAcentral. RNAcentral also lists the same sequence under 2 other names.
UCCGGUGGCUAUGGCGGAGGGGUCACACCUCUUCCCAUUCCGAACAGAGAAGUUAAGCCCUCCAGCGCCGAUGGUACUGCACGGGAGACCGUGUGGGAGAGUAGGUCGCCGCCGGGA